Molecule: ribosomal RNA, 414 nt
Filed under: uncultured microorganism
Description: bacterial SSU rRNA
Rfam family: Archaeal small subunit ribosomal RNA
Source: RNAcentral
CAGCAGCCGCGGUAAUACCGGCGGCCCGAGUGGCGGUCACUAUUAUUGGGCUUAAAGCGUCCGUAGCCGGGUUGGGAAGUCCUCCGGGAAAUCUGGCCGCUUAAAGGUCCGAAUGCCGGAGGAUACUCCCAGCCUAGGGAGCGGGAGAGGCCGAGGGGAUUCCCGGAGGAGGGGGGAAAUCCUAUAAUCCCGGGAGGACCACCUGUGGCGAAGGCGCUCGGCUGGAACGCGUCCGACGGUGAGGGACGAAGGCCAGGGGAGCAAACCGGAUUAGAUACCCGGGUAGUCCUGGCUGUAAACGAUGCGGACUUUGUGUCGGACAAGCUAUGAGCUUGUCCGGUGCCGGAGGGAAACCGUUAAGUCCGCCGCCUGGGGAGUACGGCCGCAAGGCUGAAACUUAAAGGAAUUGGCGGG